GACGAACGCUGGCGGCGUGCUUAACACAUGCGAGUCGAACGGAAAGGCCCUGCUUGCAGGGUACUCGAGUGGCGAACGGGUGGGUAACACGUGGGUGAUCUGCCCUGCACUUCGGGAUAAGCCUGGGAAACUGGGUCUAAUACCGGAUAGGAGCCAUUUUUAGUGUGAUGGUUGGAAAGUUUUUUCGGUGUAGGAUGAGCUCGCGGCCUAUCAGCUUGUUGGUGGGGUAAUGGCCUACCAAGGCGGCGACGGGUAGCCGGCCUGAGAGGGUGGACGGCCACAUUGGGACUGAGAUACGGCCCAGACUCCUACGGGAGGCAGCAGUGGGGAAUAUUGCACAAUGGGCGCAAGCCUGAUGCAGCGACGCCGCGUGGGGGAUGACGGCCUUCGGGUUGUAAACUCCUUUCGCUAGGGACGAAGCUUUUUGUGACGGUACCUAGAUAAGAAGCACCGGCUAACUACGUG
This 465-nucleotide ribosomal RNA is filed under the name uncultured bacterium. RNAcentral's name for it is "partial 16S ribosomal RNA". It matches the Rfam family "Bacterial small subunit ribosomal RNA", at positions 28 to 507 of the family's 1533-position model. The record is from RNAcentral.